GGUAAACGCUGGCGGCGUGCCUAAAACAUGCAAGCCGAACGGGCAGGCUCUUCGGAGGCUGCCAGUGGCGGACGGCUGAGUAACACGUGGGUGACACACCCAUCGGUGGGGAACAACUGCCCGAAAGGGUGGCUAAUACCGCGUACGUCUGGAGCCUCAACGGCUCCAGGGAAAGCUCGUUCUGCGAAGGNGAGUGCCGAUGGACUGACCCGCGCCCGAUUAGCUAGCUGGGAGGUAACGGCUCACCAGGGCGACGAUCGGUAGCUGGUCUCAGAGGAUGAUCAGCCAGACUGGGACUGAGACACGGCCCAGACUCCUACGGGAGGCAGGCAGUUAGGAAUUUGGGCAAUGGGCGCAAGCCU
Molecule: ribosomal RNA, 362 nt
Filed under: uncultured bacterium
Lineage: Bacteria
Description: bacterial SSU rRNA
Rfam family: Bacterial small subunit ribosomal RNA
Source: RNAcentral